CGGGAUGUAGCACAGCUUGGUAGCGCGCUUCGUUCGGGACGAAGAGGUCAUGGGUUCGAAUCCCGUCAUCCCGACCA
This 77-nucleotide transfer RNA is filed under the name Erysipelotrichaceae bacterium. Its description in RNAcentral is "tRNA-Pro". It matches the Rfam family "tRNA". From Rfam's summary of the family: Transfer RNA (tRNA) molecules are approximately 80 nucleotides in length. Their secondary structure includes four short double-helical elements and three loops (D, anti-codon, and T loops). Lineage: Bacteria; Bacillati; Bacillota; Erysipelotrichia; Erysipelotrichales; Erysipelotrichaceae. RNAcentral also lists the same sequence under 2 other names. The record is from RNAcentral.